RNAcentral lists this ribosomal RNA (492 nucleotides) under uncultured bacterium. Its description in RNAcentral is "partial 16S ribosomal RNA". It matches the Rfam family "Bacterial small subunit ribosomal RNA", at positions 29 to 507 of the family's 1533-position model. The record is from RNAcentral.
AGUGAACGCUGGCGGUAGGCCUAACACAUGCAAGUCGAACGGCAGCACAGUAAGAGCUUGCUCUUACGGGUGGCGAGUGGCGGACGGGUGAGGAAUACAUCGGAAUCUACUUUUUCGUGGGGGAUAACGUAGGGAAACUUACGCUAAUACCGCAUACGACCUACGGGUGAAAGCAGGGGAUCUUCGGACCUUGCGCGAUUGAAUGAGCCGAUGUCGGAUUAGCUAGUUGGCGGGGUAAAGGCCCACCAAGGCGACGAUCCGUAGCUGGUCUGAGAGGAUGAUCAGCCACACUGGAACUGAGACACGGUCCAGACUCCUACGGGAGGCAGCAGUGGGGAAUAUUGGACAAUGGGCGCAAGCCUGAUCCAGCCAUACCGCGUGGGUGAAGAAGGCCUUCGGGUUGUAAAGCCCUUUUGUUGGGAAAGAAAAGCAGCAGGUUAAUACCCCGCCGUUCUGACGGUACCCAAAGAACAAGCACCGGCUAACUUCGUG